Molecule: long non-coding RNA, 467 nt
Organism: Struthio camelus australis
Lineage: Eukaryota; Metazoa; Chordata; Aves; Struthioniformes; Struthionidae
Source: RefSeq, a predicted model, not a curated record
GGUCUCAGGGGACGAAACCAUGCUUGUUGCUGGUGACAGAGACAAAUCUAGAAAAUCUGAUGCCUUGUGAAGAUAAAGGGGAAGUGAAGACUCGGAGGAAAGAGAAAGCAUUUCCUGCCCCAGUUCCUGACCCAGGCACAGACUGUCAGUCUAGUGAUACCGCUGGACUUGGCUGGGCCGCAGAGAGCAGACAACUCCGCUGUGCACAGCGCAGAGCCAGCGUGGGACUUGUUUGCGCCCGUGCCCUGGAGCCCACCUGCGCAGUGAAACAGGAACUGAAGCUGGACAGAGAGUCUGGCUGACGCCGGGGAGAAACACAGCGACACAGAGCCUGUCGCCCUACAAUCAGCCGCCCAACGCUUCACUGCUUUCACAUGCGCAAAGCUACCAUGUGACUUAGGCCAGAGCCCUGGCUCUCGCAUCCUGGAAGUGUGUCCAACCCUUGGGCUGUACAGCGGCUUCCAUGC